RNAcentral lists this ribosomal RNA (297 nucleotides) under uncultured Planctomycetota bacterium. RNAcentral's name for it is "uncultured planctomycete partial 16S ribosomal RNA". It matches the Rfam family "Bacterial small subunit ribosomal RNA", at positions 30 to 328 of the family's 1533-position model. The record is from RNAcentral. Lineage: Bacteria; Pseudomonadati; Planctomycetota.
UUGAACGCUGGCGGCAUGGCUAAAACAUGCAAGUCGAACGCGAAAGCACUUCGGUGCAAGUAGAGUGGCGAAAGGGCGAGGAACACGUACCUAACGUGCCUUCAGGUAAGGGAUAGCUCAUGGAAACGUGUGGUAAUACCUUAUAACCUCAUUUCUUCAUAUGGAGUUUUGAGCAAAGGCUUGCUGCCUGAAGAUCGGGGUACGUCCUAUCNGNUUGUUGGUGAGGUAAUGGCUCACCAAGGCGAAAACGGGUAGCUGGUGUGAGAGCACGACCAGCCGCAUCGGGACUGAGACACU